Non-coding RNA from Acanthosepion pharaonis, 114 nucleotides. Lineage: Eukaryota; Metazoa; Mollusca; Cephalopoda; Sepiida; Sepiidae. The record is from the annotation of a GenBank genome assembly.
UUACGGCCAUAUCACGUUGAAACACCGGUUCUCGUAUGAUCACCAAAGUUAAGCAACGUCGAACCUAGUCAGUACCUAGAUGGGAAAACGCUUUAGAAUACCAGGUGCUGUAAU